UCAUGGCCGCUGCCGCCGCCUCCAUCCAAAUCGCUGUCCUCUGCCUGACUCUCUUGUCGUCCCGGUUCUCCCCCAACCCUCCGUUGGGCCUCGGCUCCGCCCCUCAUUGUACGUUUCCUCUCGCCCCCUGGGUUGCUCCCCCGGGUAAGCUAUGUGUCUUAUGUCUUCGUCAACCCUAGCUCUUCAAUUCCACCUUUUUCUUGAUCUAUUGGAGACAUCCGACGUCCUUCCUUUUGGAUAGUAUAUGUCGAUUUUCGCAUCAAGAUUCCUUCGCUAGCGGUGGCUGGCGAUAACUCGAUCAUUCUUUCAAUUCCUUCGCUAAAUGGUGUGUUUUAUUCAACUGAUUAGCUUUGGAUCACGAAAAUAGUCUCUCUACUCACAAGAUCCGCAGAUGGCAAUUUCUUUGAAAUAACACAUAUUUUAAUCAAAUUAGGCAUUUCCAGUUGAUUUCAGCAUUUGAUUGAUUGGUAUUGUGCUUGGUGUCUUUAGGUGCUUUUCGUUGAUAUAUUAUUGACUGCGACCAUUUCUUUCGCUCCAAGAUUGUAUCUUUCUUGCACUAUACUUACUUUGUUCCUUUAUUUAAAUGAUUGUUUCUUUGAAGCAAGUGAUGUUCGAUUAAAUUAUGCAUUCUCAUUUUCUCCUCCCGUCUUCUAAUUUAAUUUUUAUGGAACCUUAAUUAAAUAGGAUUUGUAGGACUAUUGAAGUCAUUGACUGAAAUUUAUAGGAACAAAACUUAUAGGUCAUGCAUGACAGUAGAACUAAUUGUUUAUUAUUCUUCCAGCUUCAAUUUGAUGAGUUACUGAUAUGUUUUUUUAUACUUCUUCUUGUCUAAGUCCAUAAAAUGAUGUGAACAACUCAGUUCUUGUUUCAUACAAUAAUGUAUUGGCUAUACAUCUGGAGCAGUUGUAUGGAACAAGAAAUUCUAGAUUGAUAAGAAGAGCGAUUUUUAUCAAGGCCAGUUGUUCCAGCAACAUGGCACAGGCAAGGACAUUAUCAAGAAAGAAGAGGCUCUAGACUGGGUGAAAUAAGAACAAAACAAUUGAAGAAUGCUUCAUGAUGUUUAUCGUAAAAUGUCCUCUUUAUUUAUGUUUCACCUUUGUUUGAUGAUUUGUUUUGGACACAACACACUAUCACCUCUGAGUUUGUAUAUGUAAUUGGUGUCAAUUCUACAAACUUGAUUAGACGAAUGGUUUCCUUCGAUAAUGUGUUACGUGGAUUUUACGUCUUCAUGAUGUCAGUGAUGCAUUUAUUUUAGAUAUCUUAGCUGAGCU
This 1271-nucleotide long non-coding RNA is filed under the name Musa acuminata (dwarf banana). Its description in RNAcentral is "long non-coding RNA (MACU_LNC006239)". Lineage: Eukaryota; Viridiplantae; Streptophyta; Magnoliopsida; Zingiberales; Musaceae. The record is from RNAcentral.